GCCGUGGCCUACUGGUUAGCGCUUCGGACUUGUAACCGGAGGGUUGGCGGUUCGAACCCCGACCAGUAGGCA
This 72-nucleotide transfer RNA is filed under the name Alosa alosa (allis shad). RNAcentral's name for it is "tRNA-OTHER". Lineage: Eukaryota; Metazoa; Chordata; Actinopteri; Clupeiformes; Clupeidae. The record is from RNAcentral.